Long non-coding RNA from Sinocyclocheilus rhinocerous, 208 nucleotides. RefSeq lists it as uncharacterized. The transcript is spliced from 2 exons. Lineage: Eukaryota; Metazoa; Chordata; Actinopteri; Cypriniformes; Cyprinidae. The record is from RefSeq and is a predicted model, not a curated record.
UCAAACCCAUCACACCUGAGAGAACUGGACCUCGGUGGGAAUAAAAUAAAACACACAGGAUUGAAUCACUUAUGUGACGUACUGAAGGAUUCACGUUGUAAACUGGAGAGAUUGAGUCUAAAUUUCUGUGGCAUUACAGAUGUUUCUUCUUUAACUCAGUCUUUGACAAACACAAAAGCACUGCAGUUUCUAAAAGAGCUUGAUCUGA